RNAcentral lists this ribosomal RNA (403 nucleotides) under uncultured bacterium. RNAcentral's name for it is "partial 16S ribosomal RNA". It matches the Rfam family "Bacterial small subunit ribosomal RNA", at positions 28 to 526 of the family's 1533-position model. The record is from RNAcentral.
GACGAACGCUGGCGGCGUGCCUAAUACAUGCAAGUCGAACGCAGUGGGGACGGGUGAGUAACACGUGGGUAACCUACCAUCAGAGGGGAUAACACUUGGAAACAGGUGCUAAACCGAUAGUGAUGGAUGGACCCGCGGUGCAUUAGUUAGUUGGUGAGGUAACGGCUCAACAGGGCAACGAUGCAUAGCCGACCUGAGAGGGGGAUCGUCCACACGGGGACUGAGACACGGCCCAGACUCCUACGGUAGGCAGCAGGAGGGAAGCUGAUGCAAUGGACGAAAGUCUGACCGAGCAACGCCGCGUGAGUGAAGAAGGUUUUCGGAUCGUAAAACUCUGUUGUUAGAGAAGCGGUAUCUAACCAGAAAGCCACGGCUAACUACGUGCCAGCAGCCGCGGUAAUAC